GACGAGCGCUGGCGGCGUGCCUAAUACAUGCAAGUUGAGCGCUGAAGGUUGGUACUUGUACCAACUGGAUGAGCAGCGAACGGGUGAGUAACGCGUGGGGAAUCUGCCUUUGAGCGGGGGACAACAUUUGGAAACGAAUGCUAAUACCGCAUAAAAACUUUAAACACAAGUUUUAAGUUUGAAAGAUGCAAUUGCAUCACUCAAAGAUGAUCCCGCGUUGUAUUAGCUAGUUGGUGAGGUAAAGGCUCACCAAGGCGAUGAUACAUAGCCGACCUGAGAGGGUGAUAGGCCACAUUGGGACUGAGACACGGCCCAAACACCUACGGGAGGCAGCAGUAGGGAAUCGUCGGCAAUGGACGAAAGUCUGACCGAGCAACGCCGCGUGAGUGAAGAAGGUUUUCGGAUCGUAAAACUCUGUUGGUAGAGAAGAACGUUGGUGAGAGUGGAAAGCUCAUCAAGUGACGGUAACUACCCAGAAAGGGACGGCUAACUACGUG
Molecule: ribosomal RNA, 497 nt
Filed under: uncultured bacterium
Lineage: Bacteria
Description: partial 16S ribosomal RNA
Rfam family: Bacterial small subunit ribosomal RNA
Source: RNAcentral